This 2058-nucleotide ribosomal RNA is filed under the name Klebsiella pneumoniae. RNAcentral describes it as "partial 23S ribosomal RNA". It matches the Rfam family "Bacterial large subunit ribosomal RNA", at positions 890 to 2925 of the family's 2925-position model. The record is from RNAcentral. Lineage: Bacteria; Pseudomonadati; Pseudomonadota; Gammaproteobacteria; Enterobacterales; Enterobacteriaceae.
UCAUCUUCGGGGGUAGAGCACUGUUUCGGCUAGGGGGUCAUCCCGACUUACCAACCCGAUGCAAACUACGAAUACCGAAGAAUGUUAUCACGGGAGACACACGGCGGGUGCUAACGUCCGUCGUGAAGAGGGAAACAACCCAGACCGCCAGCUAAGGUCCCAAAGUCAUGGUUAAGUGGGAAACGAUGUGGGAAGGCACAGACAGCCAGGAUGUUGGCUUAGAAGCAGCCAUCAUUUAAAGAAAGCGUAAUAGCUCACUGGUCGAGUCGGCCUGCGCGGAAGAUGUAACGGGGCUAAACCAUGCACCGAAGCUGCGGCAGCGACACUAUGUGUUGUUGGGUAGGGGAGCGUUCUGUAAGCCUGCGAAGGUGACCUGUGAGGGUUGCUGGAGGUAUCAGAAGUGCGAAUGCUGACAUAAGUAACGAUAAAGCGGGUGAAAAGCCCGCUCGCCGGAAGACCAAGGGUUCCUGUCCAACGUUAAUCGGGGCAGGGUGAGUCGACCCCUAAGGCGAGGCCGAAAGGCGUAGUCGAUGGGAAACAGGUUAAUAUUCCUGUACUUGGUGUUACUGCGAAGGGGGGACGGAGAAGGCUAUGUUAGCCGGGCGACGGUUGUCCCGGUUUAAGCAUGUAGGCUGGUUGUCCAGGCAAAUCCGGAUAAUCAAGGCUGAGGUGUGAUGACGAGGCACUACGGUGCUGAAGUAACAAAUGCCCUGCUUCCAGGAAAAGCCUCUAAGCAUCAGGUAACAUCAAAUCGUACCCCAAACCGACACAGGUGGUCAGGUAGAGAAUACCAAGGCGCUUGAGAGAACUCGGGUGAAGGAACUAGGCAAAAUGGUGCCGUAACUUCGGGAGAAGGCACGCUGGUGUGUAGGUGAAGCCCCUGCGGGUGGAGCUGAGACCAGUCGAAGAUACCAGCUGGCUGCAACUGUUUAUUAAAAACACAGCACUGUGCAAACACGAAAGUGGACGUAUACGGUGUGACGCCUGCCCGGUGCCGGAAGGUUAAUUGAUGGGGUUAUCCGUAAGGAGAAGCUCUUGAUCGAAGCCCCGGUAAACGGCGGCCGUAACUAUAACGGUCCUAAGGUAGCGAAAUUCCUUGUCGGGUAAGUUCCGACCUGCACGAAUGGCGUAAUGAUGGCCAGGCUGUCUCCACCCGAGACUCAGUGAAAUUGAACUCGCUGUGAAGAUGCAGUGUACCCGCGGCAAGACGGAAAGACCCCGUGAACCUUUACUAUAGCUUGACACUGAACAUUGAGCCUUGAUGUGUAGGAUAGGUGGGAGGCUUUGAAGCGUGGACGCCAGUCUGCGUGGAGCCAACCUUGAAAUACCACCCUUUAAUGUUUGAUGUUCUAACGUUGGCCCCUGACCGGGGUUGCGGACAGUGUCUGGUGGGUAGUUUGACUGGGGCGGUCUCCUCCCAAAGCGUAACGGAGGAGCACGAAGGUUAGCUAAUCCUGGUCGGACAUCAGGAGGUUAGUGCAAUGGCAUAAGCUAGCUUGACUGCGAGCGUGACGGCGCGAGCAGGUGCGAAAGCAGGUCAUAGUGAUCCGGUGGUUCUGAAUGGAAGGGCCAUCGCUCAACGGAUAAAAGGUACUCCGGGGAUAACAGGCUGAUACCGCCCAAGAGUUCAUAUCGACGGCGGUGUUUGGCACCUCGAUGUCGGCUCAUCACAUCCUGGGGCUGAAGUAGGUCCCAAGGGUAUGGCUGUUCGCCAUUUAAAGUGGUACGCGAGCUGGGUUUAGAACGUCGUGAGACAGUUCGGUCCCUAUCUGCCGUGGGCGCUGGAGAAUUGAGGGGGGCUGCUCCUAGUACGAGAGGACCGGAGUGGACGCAUCACUGGUGUUCGGGUUGUCAUGCCAAUGGCACUGCCCGGUAGCUAAAUGCGGAAGAGAUAAGUGCUGAAAGCAUCUAAGCACGAAACUUGCCCCGAGAUGAGUUCUCCCUGAGACUUUAAGUCUCCUGAAGGAACGUUGAAGACGACGACGUUGAUAGGCCGGGUGUGUAAGCGCAGCGAUGCGUUGAGCUAACCGGUACUAAUGAACCGUGAGGCUUAACCUU